Molecule: ribosomal RNA, 421 nt
Filed under: uncultured bacterium
Lineage: Bacteria
Description: bacterial SSU rRNA
Rfam family: Bacterial small subunit ribosomal RNA
Source: RNAcentral
UAAGGAAUAUUGGUCAAUGGACGCAAGUCUGAACCAGCCAUGCCGCGUGAAGGAUGAAGGUCCUCUGGAUUGUAAACUUCUUUUAUAUGGGACGAAACCCUUUUAUUCUUAAAAGAUUGACGGUACCAUACGAAUAAGCCCCGGCUAACUCCGUGCCAGCAGCCGCGGUAAUACGGAGGGUGCAAGCGUUAUCCGGAUUCACUGGGUUUAAAGGGUGCGUAGGUGGGUCUGUAAGUCCGUGGUGAAAUCUCCAAGCUUAACUUGGAAACUGCCAUGGAUACUAUAGGUCUUGAAUACCGUGGAGGGGAGCGGAAUAUGUCAUGUAGCGGUGAAAUGCUUAGAUAUGACAUAGAACACCAAUUGCGAAGGCAGCUCACUACACGAAUAUUGACACUGAGGCACGAAAGCGUGGGGAUCAAAC